UAAAAGAUAAGCUAAUUAAGCUAACGGGCUCAUACCCCGUAAAUGGAAGUUCAGUCCUUUCUCUUUUUA
Molecule: transfer RNA, 69 nt
Filed under: Chaceon granulatus
Lineage: Eukaryota; Metazoa; Arthropoda; Malacostraca; Decapoda; Geryonidae
Also listed under: 1 other name
Description: tRNA-Met
Rfam family: tRNA
About the family: Transfer RNA (tRNA) molecules are approximately 80 nucleotides in length. Their secondary structure includes four short double-helical elements and three loops (D, anti-codon, and T loops).
Source: RNAcentral